RNAcentral lists this microRNA precursor (75 nucleotides) under Oncorhynchus kisutch (coho salmon). RNAcentral describes it as "mir-205 microRNA precursor family". It matches the Rfam family "mir-205 microRNA precursor family". RNAcentral also lists the same sequence under 5 other names. Lineage: Eukaryota; Metazoa; Chordata; Actinopteri; Salmoniformes; Salmonidae. The record is from Rfam by way of RNAcentral.
GCAUUCUAUCCUUCAUUCCACCGGAGUCUGUGUCAUGAACCAUUCAGAUUUCAGUGGUGUGAAGAGUAAGAAACA